GUGCUAUAUUGUGCCCUGUGUGAGCCCUGUACAUUGUUUCCUCCAGUCUUUUCAGUUGGUCCUUUCCCGGCUCCAGGGGAUUUCCUUAGCCCAGACAGGACUCAGCGGAAUAUGAGAGGUAAUCAAGUAGAAAGUAUGAGCUUCAUCUGUGGAUUGCAGUCUGCUGUUAGAAACCAUGUUUUCUUCCGGUUUAAUUCACUGGCUAACUGGAGAAAAUGUAACACGUUAGCAUCAACCUCAGAGGGCUGUCAUCAAGUAGUAAAUAAGUCUCAGGGACUGGGAGUAAAUCAGUGUGAUAGGUGGACUUUGCUGCCCGGAAACUUUCAUUUUUAUAGGACUUUUAACAACAAAAAAACAGGAUGCCUCUCAAGUACCAAAAGUAAGGAAAUUUGGAUGAAUGCCAGCAAAUAUACUGUAUGGAAGGACUCUUUUUCAAGACAGCUAUUAAUAAAAAAAGUUAGAGCAGUUCCUAGUCUGUUAGUAUUGCAUCCUCUAAGCCCUUCUCCUGUAAGAGCCAUUAGGAAUUUCCACACCUCUCCGCGGUUUCAAGCUGCUCCGGUUCCUCUCUUGUUGAUGAUUCUUAAACCAGUGCAGAAGUUACUUGCAAUCAUUGUAGGCAGGGGCAUAAGGAAAUGGUGGCAGGCACUUCCUCCUAACAAGAAGGAACUAUUUAAAGAAAGUAUAAGGAAGAAUAAAUGGAAGCUAGUCCUUGGUUUGAGUAGUUUUGGAUUGCUCUUUGUGGUAUUUUAUUUUACUCACCUGGAAGUAAGUCCAAUCACAGGAAGAAGCAGGCUGCUAUUAUUGGGGAAAGAGCAGUUCAGACUUUUAUCAGAACUGGAAUAUGAAGCAUGGAUGGAAGAAUUUAAAAAUCAUAUGCUGACUGAGAAAGAUGCCCGAUACCUGGCUGUUAAAGAAGUGCUUUGUCAUCUAAUUGAAUCCAAUAAAGAUGUUCCAGGGAUCUCUCAGAUCAAUUGGACUGUUCAUGUGGUUGAUUCCCCAGUUAUUAAUGCCUUUGUGCUUCCAAAUGGACAAAUGUUUGUUUUCACUGGAUUUUUAAAUAGUGUAACCGAUAUUCAUCAACUUUCUUUCCUUCUGGGCCAUGAAAUAGCACAUGCAGUACUUGGGCAUGCUGCAGAAAAGGCUGGCAUGGUUCAUUUAUUGGAUUUCCUAGGUAUGAUUUUCCUCACGAUGAUUUGGGCCAUUUGUCCUCGAGAUAGUUUGGCCCUUUUGGGCCAGUGGAUACAGUCUAAAUUGCAAGAGUAUAUGUUUAAUAGACCAUACAGCAGAAAAUUGGAGGCUGAAGCUGACAAAAUUGGACUAUUGCUUGCUGCAAAGGCUUGUGUGGACAUAAGGGCCAGUUCAGUGUUUUGGCAGCAAAUGGAGUUUGUCGAUAGCCUGCAUGGCCAACCCAAGAUGCCAGAAUGGUUAUCUACACACCCUUCUCAUGGCAAUCGAGUUGAGCACUUGGAUAGACUUAUACCUCAGUCUUUCUCAGAUGUUCCCUGGUGAUGUCAAGAUGGCUGCCAGCACUCCCAGGAUUGCAUGCUUUCCCAUCCAGCUCGAUGAGUGACUGACUCACACCCCAACUAUUGAAACAAAGCCUUUAACACUAAUUGCACCCCUGAAGCCAUUGCCAUGGCAGGGGAUGGCAUUAUUUUGAUUGGCUUGGACCUGUCCGGAUCCAACACUGGAGCUGAGGAUGGGUACGACUCAACACCACCCAAACAGAACGGCUACUGCGCGGUGGGAGAGAUGCGACCACUGGGCUUAAUGAAAUAGAGGAUGCAUGAAUGAAAGAAGGUCCACCAGGAAGAAUGUGUCUGCUUCCUCUCUGCUCAUAUACCGUGUAACGGCCAUGGAGGGACAUCACUCAGAUCACUCUUCAAGAGAGCCCUCUGUGGCAUGCAUAACUGACAAAUGCUCCAGCUGCCACACCUUCAGAUCCACAGUAACUGGGUAUGUCAGGGGCACUAAAGCUGGGCCAUUCCUUCUGCACUUGAGAUGGUGUCAUGGAUGACUGUUGCAUGAGGACUCCCUGUUGGCCUGGCCAGAAUAUUCUUAGAACUGCACUGUAGUCACAGCUCUUCCUACUUCCUUCUCCUUCCUUCCCACUCUCCUUUCUCAUGUGUCAGACCCACAUCAUGGUCUGAAGGCUCUUCCUAUCUCAUCCUGAGCCCCUCCUUUGCCAUGUACAAGAACUUCUCCAAUACAUCUCAUGCACAGCUAAUCCCAUCUUGGUGUCUACUUCCUGAAGAACACUAAUGGAAAGACACAGUGAUUCUGUUUCUCCAACCCACAUGUCUAUCACCUGGAAAACAGAUCAAUUCUGUGAUAUCAUCAUGCAACAGAAUACUAUAGAGCAGUGAAAAUGAAUGAAUCAGAGACAGAGGCAUCAACAUGGAUAUAUCUGAAAAACAUCAUGUUGAACAAACCCAAAGUGUUGCAGAGUGAUACAUACAGUAUGUAACAUUUAUAUAAAGUUUUAUAACUUGUCAAACAAUGUCAUAUGUAAUUUGUAGAUGAGUACAUAAAGCAUAAAAAUACACUAAGGGCCGGGGCAGUGGCUCGGGCCUG
Molecule: non-coding RNA, 2574 nt
Organism: Saimiri boliviensis boliviensis (Bolivian squirrel monkey)
Lineage: Eukaryota; Metazoa; Chordata; Mammalia; Primates; Cebidae
Source: RefSeq, a predicted model, not a curated record